This 433-nucleotide ribosomal RNA is filed under the name uncultured bacterium. Its description in RNAcentral is "partial 16S ribosomal RNA". It matches the Rfam family "Bacterial small subunit ribosomal RNA", at positions 29 to 507 of the family's 1533-position model. The record is from RNAcentral.
AACGAACGCUGGCGGCAUGCCUAACACAUGCAAGUCGAACGAGACCUUCGGGUCUAGUGGCGCACGGGUGCGUAACGCGUGGGAACCUGCCCAUAGGUUCGGAAUAACUCCCCGAAAGGGGUGCUAACACCGGAUAAUGUCUUCGGACCAAAGAUUUAUCGCCUUUGGAUGGGCCCGCGUUGGAUUAGCUAGUUGGUAGGGUAAAAGCCUACCAAGGCGACGAUCCAUAGCUGGUCUGAGAGGAUGAUCAGCCACACUGGGACUGGGACACGGCCCGGACUCCUACGGGAGGCAGCAGUGGGGAAUAUUGGACCAUGGGCGGAGGCCUGAUCCAGCUCUGCCGCGUGAGUGAUGAAGGCCUUAGGGUUGUAAAGCUCUUUUACCCGGGAUGAUAAUGACGGUACCGGGAGAAUAAGCCCCGGCUAACUCCGUG